This is a long non-coding RNA of Mercurialis annua (annual mercury), 2139 nucleotides long. RefSeq lists it as uncharacterized. The record is from RefSeq and is a predicted model, not a curated record. NCBI's taxonomy places the organism in Eukaryota, Viridiplantae, Streptophyta, Magnoliopsida, Malpighiales, Euphorbiaceae. The transcript has 10 exons.
UUACAAAAAUAUAGAACUUUCCUUGUCGAAAAGUCGCGUUGCGAUUCUUGACUGGCCGGAAAUGCCUGGCGUUUUUUCCCUUGUGCUAACGGUGUAGUCCUGUCAUCGUCUUUCUCACCUCCAAGAAUGACUCUCUCUCCUAACUACAGUACCACGAGCUCGUCGCUCUCUGCCUUUGAUUUUUCUGCUGGACCUUCCCCAAAUCGAACUAGUUUCUUUGCUUCAGCAUAAUCAAACGGCUUCGGCAGCUCCAGGCCGGUUGGAUCAUGAGAUUUCUCUGCAUUUUUGUUGGCUUUACUCUGAUUGAUGGAGAGGAAGCACUUUUGGAAGCUCGAAGAACUCUGUAUCCAUUUGGUAAAUUCCUCAGUGUGCUCUCGUGGGCGCGUUGGAGGUGUUCAUGUAUAUCGGUCAGUUAGGGUUUUUUAUCGGGCAAGCAGGAUGGUAUGAAAAGCUUCGGAGGAAAUUCAUAUUGUAACGCUACCUUCGAGCUAUUUCACUUGCUUUCUCAGGCAGCCUCAAGGUUUCUUGAUAAACUUGUAACCUUGAUAAACAGUAAAUCUCGCGCUUUCAAUUUCUCGAGCACGACACAAGUUGUGAGUGACAAGGAUGCUUAAGAGAAUGUCAUUGUUAUCCAGUCAGUUCCUAGAGCAAGUAGCAGUCACAUUGUGUCAGCUUAUAUGGAGAUUCAUCAAGGUAUGCCAUAUACGCCUCUAGGGUCUCGAAUUUCCUAAACUAUACAUCAUUCAUGUACUUCAACCAGUAGGAACAGAAAUCAGUUCUCGCAGAUUUGAUACAAGACAUAGAACCAUUAGAUGUGAGCGUCAUUCUAAGGGAUGUUCCACCUACUACCCUGGAUGCUAUGAAGAUGACUAUCUUUGGCAUGUUGGGCUUACUUCCAUCUGAUCGAUUUAAAGUCUUUAUUGAGGCUUUGUGGGAACCUCUCUCCAAGUCAUUAAUAUCUUCAAUGAUGACUGGGUUCAAGUGGUUCGCUUGCUUUGUAGAACUCCUGAGAAAGAAAGCAGGCAUGAACUGCUAUGGAGAGUGGCUGUCGACGGUAGCGCCUUUGCUAGUAAAAAUGGAACCAAAGUUCAUAUUCUAGCGGAAAAUCUAAAUGAGAUAGCCAACCAAGCAGAUGAUCUACUGGAGUUAAUGGAAACACGGCAAGUUGUUCCGGAUCAAAAACUACUUGCAAGGCUUGUACUAAUUAGAGAGGAAGCUAGGAAUAUGAUGGGAGGUGGAAUACUAGAUGAAAGAAAUGACCGUGGUUUCAGUAUUCUUCAUGAAUUUGAGGUCUGUAUUCUUCAAUAAUGAUGUAUCAUAUGAAAUAAUGCAUGCCUAGCUGAUUCUAAAUUUUAAUUGCUUUUCUUUGUCAAAAUUAAGUAUGAUAUUUUACUUUUUCAUUCUUUCAUUUUGAAUUAUGCAAUGUUAAUAUUUGAUAGUAGUGAUUUGUUUUCAGUGCCAUGAUUAUGUACCUUAUUAGUGCAGGUAAAAAAAUUAACUAAGCUAGUGGCUCUAAAACUUGGGAAGACUGGUCAAGAAAUGAUAAAAAAAAUGUAAUGCUAGGAAAAGAUGAAGGAGCGGAAAGUAGUUCAAACAGAAUUGCAGGAAAUGUUCGUUCGAUUUCACUGACGUUUGAGUCCAGGUGUAUAUUUGAUUGGAAUCAAUUUUGAUUACUUCUCCUUCCCUUUUCUUUAUUUACUUGUUCUUGAACCUGUAUCAUAUUACGCUUUAUUGUUUCAAGUAUAGUAAUCACUGCAGCUAAACUAAGCUUGAGCUGGUGACUUCUGAUGUAAGAAUUCGGUUGCCCAGUUGACGAAACAAAAAAGGAGUUGCCGUCUUUGUACAUUUCAUGCACAAUUAUGUUUUGAAAAUCGGAUUCUGAAAGUGCUCAAUUUUGAGUGACAGCUCUUGUAGAUUUUAUGAAGAUAUUUGUGGGAAAUGAUUCUGUAGCAGAAAAGACAUUCAAUGUUUUGUGAUUUCUAAUGUCGUUAUUUUUUAUGGAAUAUUUUCCGUUUUCUAAUUUUGGUGAAUAUUUUUUUGUUUGUGAUGUAAUGGAUGAAAUACUUUUGUGAUGUAAUGGAUGGAUGGAAUAUUUUCCGUUUUGUGAUGCAAUGGAUGGAAUAUUUUUUUGAUUUUGAA